UUUAAAUAUAAAUACUCAGAAUGGAUGUUAUUUAUCUAACAGCUCUUGUCCAUUUGCUCGGAUAAAAUUCGCAUUUAUGAGUUGUUGUCUCAGACAAGUAAAUAGGGCAAGCUUGCACGCCGACCUGAUUAUUUAAUCGCUGAUGCUCGUGUUCUUUAAUAAAUUCCCUAUCCAAUAAAUAAAGAAAUUAGGGAAUCAGAUAGGCCUGAACCAAGGUUCCAAGAUUUUGUAAAUUCGGGCCCAUUAUAGCCGAAGUUUAAAUCAGGAAGCUCUCUUUUUUCACUACUCAAAAACAACACGAGCAAUGGCAGAUGCAGAGGCAGACAUAACAAACACGGCGCCUCUUCCGUCAAUACAAGAUACUGGAAGACCUGAAUACGGAUGUGAUCAUUACCGUAGGAGAUGCAAAAUUCGAGCUCCGUGUUGUCAACAAAUAUUCUCCUGCCGCCAUUGUCAUAACGAGGCUACUAAUGCUAUGAGCAAACCUAAAGAUCGUCAUGAAAUUGUUAGGCAUGAUAUUCAACAAGUUAUUUGUUCACUUUGCAAUUUUGAGCAGCAGGUUGCUCAGGUUUGCACAAAUUGUGGAGUCAAGAUGGGUGAAUACUUUUGUAAUAUAUGCAAAUUUUAUGACGAUGAUACAACUAAAGGACAAUUUCACUGCGAAGGAUGUGGAAUUUGUAGAGUUGGCGGUCAAGACAAGUUUUUCCACUGUGAGAAGUGUGGUUCUUGCUAUCAAGUGGAGCUGCGUAAUAAUCAUUCAUGUGUUGAGAAUUCCAUGAAGAAUUGUUGCCCAGUCUGUUAUGAGUAUCUUUUUGAUUCAGUUAAAGGUGCAACAGUUAUGAGGUGUGGACACACCAUGCAUGCAGAUUGCUUUCAGGAGAUGGCUAAACAAAAUCAGUACCGUUGUCCAAUCUGCUCCAAGACUGUACUGGAAAUGGGACGCUAUUGGAGAAUGCUAGACCAGGAGACACUCCAAAAUUUUAAUAGUGAUGUGGAAUCUGUUGGUUUAGUGGAAGACCAGACUGUAUCAACUGGAUCGAAGCUGUUCAAAUGCCCAGAGAAUACCGUUAUGAGCACAGUUCUCAAGUUUCUUGUUUAUUUUCCGCGGGAUCCUACUGCCCUCGAAAGCUCUUUAAACAAGUUAUUCUUUUUGUAAGAAGGAAAAAGAAAAGAAGAUGCCAUACUAUAAAUACAAAUUGACUCGCUCCUCGCUUAACUCUAGAGUGGAACCUUCUCAAUUGAGCAUGUUUCUCCAUCAAUAAGCCCUAAAAUAGAGAAUCAGGCUGCAUUGUCUGUAGAAAAUUGGAAAGCACAUUACAAAUCCUGGUUGUGAGAAGUUGCCUACUUGGCUGCAGAAGAUACAUUCCCUCGAGUGAUUAUUCUGAUGGUUUUUGUGAUUUGCAAUGGGUGCGGUCCCAAUUUUAUGCAAUGACUGCAAUGAGACCAGCAAAGUUGCAUUUCACGUUAUUGGGCUUAAGUGCAGUCACUGCGAAUCCUAUAACACGCGAAGGAUUUCAACACCAGCUGGUCAAUGAGUGAGUUGUUUAAACAA
Molecule: RNA transcript, 1552 nt
Organism: Ricinus communis (castor bean)
Lineage: Eukaryota; Viridiplantae; Streptophyta; Magnoliopsida; Malpighiales; Euphorbiaceae
Gene name: E3 ubiquitin-protein ligase MIEL1
Exons: 14
Source: RefSeq, a predicted model, not a curated record